RNAcentral lists this transfer RNA (88 nucleotides) under Oscillospiraceae bacterium. RNAcentral describes it as "tRNA-Ser". It matches the Rfam family "tRNA". Rfam says of the family: Transfer RNA (tRNA) molecules are approximately 80 nucleotides in length. Their secondary structure includes four short double-helical elements and three loops (D, anti-codon, and T loops). The record is from RNAcentral. RNAcentral also lists the same sequence under 1 other name. Lineage: Bacteria; Bacillati; Bacillota; Clostridia; Eubacteriales; Oscillospiraceae.
GGAGAGAUGUCCGAGCGGUUUAAGGAACCGGUCUUGAAAACCGGCGGUGCGUGAGCAUCCGUGGGUUCGAAUCCCACUCUCUCCGCCA